RNAcentral lists this ribosomal RNA (274 nucleotides) under uncultured bacterium. Its description in RNAcentral is "partial 16S ribosomal RNA". It matches the Rfam family "Bacterial small subunit ribosomal RNA", at positions 523 to 796 of the family's 1533-position model. The record is from RNAcentral.
AUACGAACUGUGCAAACGUUAUUCGGAAUCACUGGGCUUAAAGGGUGCGUAGGCGGGUUUGAAGGUCUGAUGUGAAAGCCCACGGCUCAACCGUGGAAUUGCGUUGGAAACCACAAGCCUUGAGGGAGUCAGAGGUGAGCGGAACUAAUGGUGGAGCGGUGAAAUGCGUUGAUAUCAUUAGGAACACCGGUGGCGAAAGCGGCUCACUGGAACUCUUCUGACGCUGAGGCACGAAAGCUAGGGGAGCGAACGGGAUUAGAAACCCCAGUAGUCC